GAGUUUGAUCCUGGCUCAGGACGAACGCUGGCGGCGUGCCUAACACAUGCAAGUCGAGCGAAGAAGCCCCUUCGGGGGUGGAUUAGCGGCGGACGGGUGAGUAACACGUGGGUAACCUACCUCAAAGAGGGGGAUAGCCUCCCGAAAGGGAGAUUAAUACCGCAUAAAAGGUGAAUACCGCAUGGUAAAUACCUUAAAGGAGAAAUCCGCUUUGAGAUGGGCCCGCGGCGCAUUAGCUAGUUGGAGGGAUAAAAGCCCCCCAAGGCGACGAUGCGUAGCCGACCUGAGAGGGUGAACGGCCACAUUGGAACUGAGAUACGGUCCAGACUCCUACGGGAGGCAGCAGUGGGGAAUAUUGCACAAUGGGCGAAAGCCUGAUGCAGCAACGCCGCGUGAGUGAAGAAGGUUUUCGGAUCGUAAAGCUCUGUCAUCCGGGACGAUAAUGACGGUACCGGAAGAGGAAGCCACGGCUAACUACGUGCCAGCAGCCGCGGUAAU
RNAcentral lists this ribosomal RNA (498 nucleotides) under bacterium enrichment culture clone ALO1_GLFRUDD03F2ZLM. RNAcentral's name for it is "bacterial SSU rRNA". It matches the Rfam family "Bacterial small subunit ribosomal RNA", at positions 9 to 524 of the family's 1533-position model. The record is from RNAcentral.